GAUGAACGCUAGCGGCAGGCCUAAUACAUGCAAGACGAACGGUAAGUUGAGUAGCAAUACUUAGCCAAGAGUGUCGUACGGGUGCGUAACACGUAUGCAACCUACCCUAUACAGGAGGAUAGCCUAGGGAAACCUGGAUUAACCCUUCAUAGUAUUAUUGGAUGGCAUCAUUUGAUAAUUAAAACUGAGGUGGUAUAGGAUGGGCAUGCGUCUGAUUAGUUAGUUGGCGGGGUAAUGGCCCACCAAGACGAUGAUCAGUAGGGGUUCUGAGAGGAAGAUCCCCCACACUGGCACUGAGAUACGGGCCAGACUCCUACGGGAGGCAGCAGUAGGGAAUAUUGGUCAAUGGAUGCAAGUCUGAACCAGCCAUGCCGCGUGCAGGAAGAAGGCCCUUUCUGGGUUGUAAACUGCUUUGCCAGGGGAUAAAAUUUCCAUGCGUGGGAAACUGAAGGUACCUGGUGAAUAAGCACGGCUAACUACGUGCCAGCAGCCG
Molecule: ribosomal RNA, 493 nt
Filed under: uncultured bacterium
Lineage: Bacteria
Description: bacterial SSU rRNA
Rfam family: Bacterial small subunit ribosomal RNA
Source: RNAcentral